UAUCACAGCCUGCUUUGAUGAGC
This 23-nucleotide non-coding RNA is filed under the name Drosophila melanogaster (fruit fly). RNAcentral also lists the same sequence under 2 other names. The record is from RNAcentral. Lineage: Eukaryota; Metazoa; Arthropoda; Insecta; Diptera; Drosophilidae.